Molecule: ribosomal RNA, 459 nt
Filed under: uncultured bacterium
Lineage: Bacteria
Description: partial 16S ribosomal RNA
Rfam family: Bacterial small subunit ribosomal RNA
Source: RNAcentral
CCUACGGGUGGCAGCAGUGAGGAAUAUUGGUCAAUGGACGAGAGUCUGAACCAGCCAAGUAGCGUGAAGGAUGACUGCCCUAUGGGUUGUAAACUUCUUUUAUAAAGGAAUAAAACGAGGCACGUGUGCCUUUUUGCAUGUACUUUAUGAAUAAGGAUCGGCUAACUCCGUGCCAGCAGCCGCGGUAAUACGGAGGAUCCGAGCGUUAUCCGGAUUUAUGGGGUUUAAAGGGUGCGCAGGCGGAGGCACAAGUCAGCGGUAAAAUCGCGGGGCUCAACCCCGCUCCGCCGUUGAAACUGUGUCCCUUGAGUGCGCGAAGGGUAGGCGGAAUGCGUGGUGUAGCGGUGAAAUGCAUAGAUAUCACGCAGAACUCCGAUCGCGAAGGCAGCCUACCGGCGCGCAACUGACGCUCAUGCACGAAAGCGUGGGUAUCGAACAGGAUUAGAUACCCUAGUAGUC